UGCGUAGGCGGACUAAUAAGUCAGUGGUGAAAUCUUUCGGCUCAACCGAGAAACUGCCAUUGAUACUGUUAGUCUUGAGUUCGGUUGAGGUAGGCGGAAUGUGUAAUGUAGCGGUGAAAUGCUUAGAUAUUACACAGAACACCAAUUGCGUGGGCAGCUUACUAGACCGACACUGACGCUGAGGCACGAAAGCGUGGGGAGCGAACAGGAUUAGAUACCCUGGUAGUCC
RNAcentral lists this ribosomal RNA (229 nucleotides) under uncultured bacterium. Its description in RNAcentral is "partial 16S ribosomal RNA". It matches the Rfam family "Bacterial small subunit ribosomal RNA", at positions 568 to 796 of the family's 1533-position model. The record is from RNAcentral.